AGGGUUAAUAGGCAAAAAAAUCACCGAACUCAUGAUCAAGUUGCAAUUGGGUCACUGAACUCAAAAAGUUUGCAAACGGAUCACAGAACUGGAUUUAACUUGCAGUCAACUCACUGAACUAAUAAAAAUUUGCAUUUAGGUCACUGUGCCGUUAAGUAUCAGUUGACUUUAACGGAAUCCGUUAAUAAAAAUUGAAAAAAUAUAAAAAUUCGCUUUUUUAAAAACUCGAUUUUGAAAAUUUAAAACUUCGAAAAAAUCUGGAAAUUUGGAAAAAGUCUGAAUUUUUUUUAACUUCAGAA
RNAcentral lists this long non-coding RNA (299 nucleotides) under Daucus carota (carrot). RNAcentral describes it as "long non-coding RNA (DCAR_LNC005013)". The record is from RNAcentral. Lineage: Eukaryota; Viridiplantae; Streptophyta; Magnoliopsida; Apiales; Apiaceae.